This 304-nucleotide ribosomal RNA is filed under the name uncultured bacterium. RNAcentral's name for it is "partial 16S ribosomal RNA". It matches the Rfam family "Bacterial small subunit ribosomal RNA", at positions 506 to 810 of the family's 1533-position model. The record is from RNAcentral.
CAGCAGUCGCCACGGUAAUACGUAGGUGGCGAGCGUUGUCCGGAAUCAUUGGGCGUAAAGGGAGCGCAGGCGGGCAUGUAAGUCUUUCUUAAAAGUUCGGGGCUCAACCCCGUGAUGGGAAAGAAACUACAGUCUUGAGUACAGGAGAGGAAAGCGGAAUUCCCAGUGUAGCGGUGAAAUGCGUAGAUAUUGGGAGGAACACCAGUGGCGAAGGCGGCUUUCUGGACUGCAACUGACGCUGAGGCUCGAAAGCCAGGGGAGCGAACGGGAUUAGAUACCCCUGUAGUCCAUGUCUCUUAUACAC